Molecule: long non-coding RNA, 4152 nt
Filed under: Gossypium barbadense (sea-island cotton)
Lineage: Eukaryota; Viridiplantae; Streptophyta; Magnoliopsida; Malvales; Malvaceae
Description: long non-coding RNA (GBAR_LNC010020)
Source: RNAcentral
CUGACUGGUAUAAACUAAUGGAUUAAAUUGAAAAUACAGGAAAUUUUGAAGGGCUUAACAAGUAAUUAAUCCCAACUAUAGUAAUAACUAACUUAACUACUAGUUAUAGAACUAAGAAAAACCAAAAAAUGAUCAAGAAAAUAAACCCUAAGCUAUGGAAAAGAAGAACUAAACUCUAAAAGAUAAAUAGAAAUAUGUAAAACUAGAUAACGUGAAGUGUGUCCCUUUUUCAGCCAAUUUUGGCCUCUUUUAGGAUUUUUUUUGACCCAACAUUUAUGCCCCAAAUGCCGUUUAGAAUGUGUUUUUUUAUUGGUGUUGAAGUUGGACAAGGUCUGCCAUUGUAGUCAUUUUUUGUUUCUUCACGUCAGGGGUAUCGUGAUACCCAUGGUUUGAUAUCGCGAUACCCAUGUUGGUUUUGACUUGGGAGAAUCCUUGGGAGUUGGGUAUCGUGAUACCAUUAUAGUUGACCUUGAUCUUCUUCAAUUCAACACUAUUCAGGGUAUCAUAUGUAACACCCCUUACCCGUAUCCAAGGCUGGAACAGAGUACGAGGCAUUACCAGACUUAACAAUACACAUUGACGAAAACUAGGCCAUAAAAUUUCAUUUAAUUCAAAACUUUUCGAACACAUGCAUAACAAACAAAACUAACUAUAUCAUCACAUCAAAACAUAGGACAUGGCACGAUUAAUUAAACUUAUAAAUCAUAAUGGAUAAGGACUACAUCUCAUGAUCAUAUACGAUAACUCAAUGCAGACUGAUACGUAUGGCCAAAAUCAUAAUAAAAAUACAUAUCACAAACCAACUUCCUAUACAUGCCACUCACUUGAUAUUUCUAAUAUUUGAAUUAAUUCUCCCAAAAUGAUAGUUUGAUAGUGUGAUUUUGCCUCCGACGAUCUCUAACCCCGAGCCGACCUGCCAAUACUAAAGAAAUGGAGAGGAUGGGUAAGCUUUACGCUUAGUAAGUUCAUAUGAAAAUAAUAAGUUCAUAUGAAAAUAAUAAGCAAUUACUACCACGAUUUUCAAGAUAAAACACUAUAAUUGUACAAUUACACAUGUUCAGGUUAAGCUGUGUUAUCGAGUUACAGUUACUAAAUCAUUCAUAUCUGAAGCUAAAAAACUCCAAAUUUAGUUUCGUUAAUUUUCCUUGAAACUAGAUUCAUAUAUAUUUCUCCCUUAAAAUUUUCAGAAUUUUUGGUUUAGCCAAUUAGUACAGUUUAUUCAUUAAAGUUUCCCCUGUUUCAGGGUACGACUACUCUGACCCCUGUGCACUACGAACCAAAUUUCUCCCUGCACAGAAUUUAAUCGACCAUGCCGUUUGUUUCUCUUAAAAAUAGACUCAAUAAGGAAUCCAUGCAUGUAAGGUAUGACUCUUAAUAAUUUUUUUACAAUUUAUGGUGAAUUUCUAAAGUCAGAACAGGGGAUCUUGAAUUUAUUCUGACACUGUAUCACAAAAAUUAUAAUAUCACAUAAUAUAUUAUUCUUUUGCUCCCCCUGUUUGUUUUAUAUGAAAAUAGACUCAUUAAUCUUUAAUUCCAUAAUUUUUUGAAAUUUAAUUCAGCUUACACAAUUUUUGGUAAAUUUUCAAAGUCAUGCACUGCUGCUGUUCAACACUGUUUUACUACUAAAGUUAACUUUUACACAAUUCACUUAAUCCAUUCCAUUUUACCGAGGUUUGCAUAAUCAUAUAUUCGCAUAAAUUCAAAUAAACAUAUACUUGCACUUGUUCAUCACAUAAUCACUUUCACAUGUAUUUUCAUUUAAUCGAUUUCCCGUUGAACUCAUCGGAAUAAUAACAGAUACACAAUUGCCUGCACAUUUUCCCAUUUCCACACUUGUAGCCGAAGCUAUCUGGUACGCAUAGUAGCCUGCACUUAGUACUACACAUGCGACCAAUAAUCUGGUACACCUAGUAGCCUGCACUUAUUACUACACACGUGAUCACAGUUUUCGGGUACGCAUAGUAGCCUGCACUUAGUACUACACAUGCGACCAAUUAUCCGGUACACGUAGUAGCCUGCACUUAGUACUACACCCGUGACCUCACAAUAGUUCAUUUGUAUCGUUUCUAUUCUGAAGGUUCAACCGGGAAAUUCCUCACUUUUCAACAUUUUACUAAAUUAUCCGUAAUCAAUUUAAAUUCAUAACUUACAUCAAAUAAGCAGCCACAUUUCAAAUGAUAUCAAAAUAUAAUAACAUAAAAUGAAUCGAUAAAUUAUUUAUGUACGAACUUACUCGAAGUGUCGAUUUCACUAUCCAUAGUACCAAUUGUCCAUUCAUAGUAUAAUAAGACAUAACUCAAAUAUCAAAUCAGCUUUUAAGAAUUUACAUAACAUAUAUCACAUAUUUCAUAUAUCACUUGUUAUGUAUCAUCAUUUUCUUGCAUUUCAUGUAACAUUCUUUCAUGUCAUAUUUUCACAUCUUAAACACCAUUUUAUCAACUUUUCCAAUAUAUUAAAUCAUACAAUAUAUGCAAUAAUAGUAAGAAAUAUAAUUCAAACAUAACAUUGCAUUAUUAUUAUCAUACGAACUUACCUCGAUCCAGAAACGACAAUUUACCAUUUUAAUCCAUAACCUUGUAUUUUCUAGAUUUAAGCCCGAAUCUCGAUUUCCUUCAUCUAUAAUAUCACAUUUAGCCUAAUAAUUAGUUACACUAUUCAUACGGGUCCAAAAAUCAUAUUUUUACAAAUUUUCAUUUUGACCCCUAAACUUUUGCAUAUUUUCACUUUUGCCCCAAGGUUCGGAAAUUAAACUUCAUCCUAUUUUCUUAUGUUUUAUGACAUGCUGAUCAUUUUCCCCUUCUAUGGUAACAUCAAAUUCUCACUCUAACAUGUACUUAUGACUAUUAGGUAUUUUUACCGAUUAAGCCAUUUUACUCGUUUUCACUUAAAACCGAGUAGCACAAGUUGUCUAACAUAAUUUAAAAAAUCAUAUUCUAUCAUAAAACAUCAAAAUACACAAAUUUCACCUAUGGGUAUUUUUCCAAUUAUGAACCCUAGGUUGAAUUAUUGCUAGCAUAAGCUAAAUCAAGUUACCGGGACUCCAAAAAAGUAAAAAUCAUUAAAAACGAGGCUAGAACGAACUUACAAUCGAGCUUGGAAGCUUGGAAACCCUAGCCAUGGAGUAUCCCUCGGUAUACACGUCCAUGGUGAAGAAGAUGAACAAAAUUGGCUUUUAAUUUUGUAUUUUAAUUCAUUUUACCCCUAAAUGACCAAAAUGCCCUUUUUACUAAACUUUCCAAAAAUUCCAUCCAUGUCCAAUUUUUGUCCAUAAACUUAGAAAUUGGUCAAAUUGUUAUUUAAGACCUCCUAAUUAAUAUUUCAAAGCAAUUUCAUACUAGAAACUUCUAGAAUGUAAGUUUUGCAACUUAUUCAAUUUAGUCCCUAACUUCAAAUUAAGCACUUUAUGCAUAGAAUUUCUUCACGAAAUUUUUACACAAUCAUGAAAUCAUAUCAUAGACCUCAAAAUAAUCAUAAAAUAAUUAUUUCUAUCUCAGAUUUGUGGUCACAAAACUACUAUUCCAAUUAGGCCCUAAUUCAGGGUAUUACAUCACAACUUCUAGGCUUCGAUACCGCAAUAUCCCUUGCUAGGUGAUAUUUUCACUCACAUUUGGGCCUCUGAUGACUCUCUACAAUACUCAAUCAACCAUUAGGUCCCCUAUGACGCAUUUGACCAUUUUGGGACUCAAAAGUGGUAUAAAACACACUAUUUCACUUAUUAAUGCAAAGAAUGAAAACUAAGUAAAAACACAAUAAAAAAAUAUAAAUUGCUCAGAAACAAGCUCUUUUAGCGUACUGGGGAGCCUAAUUUGACCUAUCAAAUUAGGACAUAUCAAAUAGGGAUGAUGGUGUGAAAUAAAGAUGAUCUUCUUAUUAACGGCGUUGGGAAGAAAUCUAGAACUAAUAGCGUAGAUGUAGCAAAAGCUCUGGCACUUAAGUUGAGAGUAAAGCUGCCAGUUAAAAAUAGAUAUGAGAAAGUCACGUUUGAGUCAGAUUUUAAAAUAGUGAUUGAUGCAAUACAUAAGAAAGGAAAAUGUUCAAGAUGGAAGCUUGACCUUGUUCUGAAAAGAAUUGAUGAAAUGCCGAGAAGUUUACUUGAUGUUAAGUUUAAUCUGGUGAAGAGAACUACUAACUGUGUAGCAAAUUAGGUGGCUA